RNAcentral lists this ribosomal RNA (393 nucleotides) under Munida sp. USNM IZ 1448889. RNAcentral describes it as "SSU rRNA". It matches the Rfam family "Eukaryotic small subunit ribosomal RNA", at positions 51 to 414 of the family's 1831-position model. RNAcentral also lists the same sequence under 7 other names. Lineage: Eukaryota; Metazoa; Arthropoda; Malacostraca; Decapoda; Munididae. The record is from RNAcentral.
AUGCAUGUGUCAGUACAAGCUAAACUAAAGUGAAACCGCGAAAGGCUCAUUAAAUCAGCUAUGAUUCAUUGGAUCUGUACACCCAGUUUUCCUUGGAUAACUGUGGUAAUUCUAGAGCUAAUACAUGCACAUAUAGUCCCUGACCCCGAGAGGGGAAAGGGCGCUUUUAUUAGUAUCUCAAAACCGGUCGUCGGGCUUCGGUCCGUAAACCCCUACUGUGAUGACUCUGGAUAACUUUUAGCUGAGCGCACGGUCUUUUGCACUGGCGCCGCUUCUUUCAAGUGUCUGCCUUAUCAGCUUUCGAUUGUAGGUUAUGUGCCUACAAUGGCUAUAACGGGUAACGGGGAAUCAGGGUUCGAUUCCGGAGAGGGAGCCUGAGAAACGGCUACCACA